UUGAGAGUUUGAUCCUAGCUCAGGAUGAACGCUGGCGGCGUGUUUAAGGCAUGCAAGUCGAACGAACCUAUGCUCUUCACUGCGUGAAGAGCUCCGGUCCGCAGGCGGCCCCAUUUGGGGAGCUUGCUCACCGAAGCUCAGCGCGUAGCGAUGAGCGUAGGUGAGUGGCAAACGGGAGCGUAACGCAUUGGUAACCUACCCCUAACACGGUCAUAACCCCGCGAAAGCGGAGCUAAUAGCCGAUGUGCUUAACGGUCAUGAGACCGUUACGUAAAGGUUGGCGCAAGCCAGCCGGUUAGGGAGGGGCCUAUGUCCUAUCAGCUUGUUGGUGAGGUAAUGGCUCACCAAGGCAACGACGGGUACCGGGCGUGAGAGCGUGGCCCGGCUCACUGGGACUGAAACACUGCCCAGACUCCUACGGGAGGCUGCAGUCAAGAAUCUUGCGCAAUGGGCGAAAGCCUGACGCAGCGACGCCGCGUGGUCGAAGAAGCCCUUCGGGGUGUAAAGGCCUUUUACCAGGGACGAAUUUCUGACGGUACCUGGUGAAUAAGAGGUUGCUAACUCUGUGCCAGCAGCAGCGGUAAUACAGAGACCUCAAGCGUUAUCCGGAUUUAUUGGGCGUAAAGCGUCUGUAGGCGGUUUAGUGUGUCAGCUGUUAAAUCUCGGUGCUCAACAUCGAGACCGCAGCUGAAACUGCUAGACUAGAGGCCGGGAGAGGCAGAUGGAAUCGCCGGUGUAGGGGUAAAAUCCGUUAAUAUCGGCGAGAACACCAAAUGCGAAGGCGUUCUGCUAGAACGGACCUGACGCUGAGAGACGAAAGCGUGGGGAGCGAAUGGGAUUAGAUACCCCAGUAGUCCACGCUGUAAACGAUGGAUGCUUGGCAUUGGCAGUAUCGACCCUGUCAGUGCCGUUUAACCAAGCUAACGCAUUAAGCAUCCCGCCUGGGGAGUACGGCCGCAAGGCUAAAACUCAAAGGAAUUGACGGGGACCCGCACAAGCGGUGGAGCAUGUGGUUUAAUUCGAUGAUAAGCGAGGAACCUUACCAAGGCUUGACAUCUAGCUGCACAUCCGGUGAAAGCCGGAUUCCUUCGAGGGUGCUAGACAGGUGCUGCAUGGUUGUCGUCAGCUCGUGUCGUGAGAUGUACCGUUAAGUCGGAUAACGAGCGCAACCCCUAUUCUGUGUUACAUUGUUCACAGGAAACUGCCCUGGAUAACAGGGAGGAAGGCGGGGAUGACGUCAAAUCAGCAUGGCUCUUACGCCUUGGGCGACACACGUGCUACAAUGGCCGGUACAAAGGGUUGCUAAGCCGAAAGGUGGAGCCAAUCCCAUCAAAACCGGCCCCAGUUCGGAUUGAGGUCUGCAACUCGACCUCAUGAAGUCGGAAUCGCUAGUAACCGUAUAUCAGCCACGGUACGGUGAAUACGUUCUCGGGUCUUGUACACACCGCCCGUCACGUCAAGAGAGUCUGUAGUACCCAAAUGCUGCCGUAGGGUGGCAAAAGGUAAGACAGAUGAUAGGGACGAAGUCGUAACAAGGCAUCCGUAGCGGAAGCUGUGGAUGGAUCACCUCCUUUCUAGGGAG
Molecule: ribosomal RNA, 1582 nt
Filed under: Candidatus Buchananbacteria bacterium RIFCSPHIGHO2_02_FULL_56_16
Lineage: Bacteria; Candidatus Buchananiibacteriota
Also listed under: 1 other name
Description: bacterial SSU rRNA
Rfam family: Bacterial small subunit ribosomal RNA
Source: RNAcentral